Molecule: ribosomal RNA, 467 nt
Filed under: uncultured bacterium
Lineage: Bacteria
Description: partial 16S ribosomal RNA
Rfam family: Bacterial small subunit ribosomal RNA
Source: RNAcentral
ACGAACGCUGGCGGCGUGCUUAACACAUGCAAGUCGAACGGAAAGGCCCUGCUUUUGUGGGGUGCUCGAGUGGCGAACGGGUGAGUAACACGUGAGUAACCUGCCCUUGACUUUGGGAUAACUUCAGGAAACUGGGGCUAAUACCGGAUAGGAUCUCCUGCUGCAUGGUGGGGGUUGGAAAGUUUCGGCGGUUGGGGAUGGACUCGCGGCUUAUCAGCUUGUUGGUGGGGUAGUGGCUUACCAAGGCUUUGACGGGUAGCCGGCCUGAGAGGGUGACCGGCCACAUUGGGACUGAGAUACGGCCCAGACUCCUACGGGAGGCAGCAGUGGGGAAUAUUGCACAAUGGGCGGAAGCCUGAUGCAGCAACGCCGCGUGCGGGAUGACGGCCUUCGGGUUGUAAACCGCUUUCGCCUGUGACGAAGCGUGAGUGACGGUAAUGGGUAAAGAAGCACCGGCUAACUACGUG